UGUCCAUAAUGAGUCCGGAUAAAUAUAUGUACAUUUCUACGUCUUAUGUACACGUUGAAAGCUUUUUGUUGACAGUUUUAGGAAGACCGGGCAGUUUUUCUAUGAUUUUGAUUCGUGGCUCAACAUUUAGAACAUAAUUUGGGCCUAUACUGUUGAAAGACUGUGAACUAAUGCCUACCAGCUGAUUUGUCUGGGGUGUCACUGGUUGGAGUGACUUUCAGUCAGUAUUUCUUUCCUACACCUGAGUGUGAUUCACAGUGUUGCCGGAAGUUGCUAAAUUGUCAUUACGGGUGACGUCACAUCGA
RNAcentral lists this long non-coding RNA (305 nucleotides) under Mytilus galloprovincialis (Mediterranean mussel). Lineage: Eukaryota; Metazoa; Mollusca; Bivalvia; Mytilida; Mytilidae. The record is from RNAcentral.